GGAGAGGUGCCGGAGCGGUCGAACGGGCACGCCUGGAGAGCGUGUGACCCAAAAGGUCCCAGGGUUCGAAUCCCUGCCUCUCCG
Molecule: transfer RNA, 84 nt
Filed under: Candidatus Omnitrophota bacterium
Lineage: Bacteria; Pseudomonadati; Candidatus Omnitrophota
Description: Candidatus Omnitrophica bacterium (sediment metagenome) tRNA-Ser
Rfam family: tRNA
About the family: Transfer RNA (tRNA) molecules are approximately 80 nucleotides in length. Their secondary structure includes four short double-helical elements and three loops (D, anti-codon, and T loops).
Source: RNAcentral